Perognathus longimembris pacificus (Pacific pocket mouse) is the source of this 133-nucleotide small nucleolar RNA. RefSeq annotates it as small nucleolar RNA SNORA13. The record is from RefSeq and is a predicted model, not a curated record. NCBI's taxonomy places the organism in Eukaryota, Metazoa, Chordata, Mammalia, Rodentia, Heteromyidae. The transcript has a single exon.
AGCCUUUGCAUUGCCCAUUCACUUUUGGAAACUAGUGAAUGGGGUGACAAAAACGGUGCAAAUAAAGCUUUGCAGCCUUUUCCUGUUAUUAAAUUUUGGUAUUUUUGAUGCUGGAGCUGCAUAAACAACAGUA